GGGCGCUUAGCUCAGCUGGUCAGAGCGCCUGCCUUACACGCAGGAGGUCGCUGGUUCGAGCCCAGCAGCGCCCA
This 74-nucleotide transfer RNA is filed under the name Candidatus Latescibacterota bacterium. Its description in RNAcentral is "tRNA-Val". It matches the Rfam family "tRNA". From Rfam's summary of the family: Transfer RNA (tRNA) molecules are approximately 80 nucleotides in length. Their secondary structure includes four short double-helical elements and three loops (D, anti-codon, and T loops). The record is from RNAcentral. Lineage: Bacteria; Pseudomonadati; Candidatus Latescibacterota.